RNAcentral lists this long non-coding RNA (1867 nucleotides) under Anser cygnoides (Swan goose). Its description in RNAcentral is "lncRNA (ENSACDG00005013961.1)". Lineage: Eukaryota; Metazoa; Chordata; Aves; Anseriformes; Anatidae. The record is from RNAcentral.
CUCCUCUCACUCUCCCAGCUGCUGUGUGGUGCAGCAUUUUUUUUUUUUUCCCCUGUCUUAAAUAUGCUCUCACUAAGAUACAAACAACAUCGCUUAUUGGCUCAGCUCUGGUCAGCAGUGGGGCCCUUACCUAACGUGGGGCAGCUUCUAGAUCCUUCUCACAGAAGCCACCCCUAUGGCCCCCUGCUACCAAAACCUUGCCACAUAAACCCACUACACUGCAUCAGGAUUGUCACCAUUAAGAAGUCAAUUUUCAAGCCACAUAUAGAGACUUUGAGAAUGACAUUCCAGGACCUGCUGAUAUAAAACCUAUCAUUAUCAAGUCAACCAUUUCCCAAAGUAGUGACAGAUAUUCAACAUUAUUUUCAGAGAUAAAUGAAUGGUCUUCAUUGCAUCUCCUCUCCGUGUUGGCAAUUUCAGUGAAGAGGCCAAGAGGUGAAUAGCCUGCAGAACUUGUCCUCUUUUUUUCAUGCCUGGGGUUGACUUUUAAAGUUAAAGACCUUUUGGAGAAGAUUUGCCCUCUCAUAGCCUUUUUUUGUAAAAAAGCAUCAUGUAUGUGAAUUUUGAGCAACCGGCAACACCCAUUGCUAAAGGGCAAGAGCUAACCAGGGAAAGGUCAUUCCAAUUCACAAAGGGCUUUGAUAUUUCAGAAUAGCUGACUUUGUUAUGAAAUGAAGGAGAACCUCGCAUUUCAAAUUCUUUGUGUAAGAGAAAAAAUGUUUUGGUCUUCAGGAAUCCCACCAGAAGAGCCAUCCUGAAGAUAUGAGUACUGGAAGCUCUUGGGAGGGUGGCUGUACAGAGUUUCCACAAGUUUUCUGCUUCUCUUAUCCUACACAUUAAAAUGGGAAGCCACACUGAUGAGCAGCAAAACAAAGAGGGGCCAAGGUGUUUUGGAAGUGAAACACUGAUGGUUUUCAAGCUUUUAACUCCCCUUCCAUGGAAGGAGGCUCAAUGGGAUGCUGGAAAUACCCAUAUCCUAACAACAGAGAAAAGAGUUAGAGAAGAAAAUUUUUAAAACAGAACCCAGUCAUAGAUUACAGCACAACUCUGUCAACAUUCAACAGCCAUCAUAAAAAUAUUGUAUUUCUUUGGAUUAUCAUCUCCCGAGGGAAUAACAUACACUGGAGAGUUUUCAAUGAACAACAAUGAGGAUACAGCACUUCUAGAGGUUUGGCAAUUUUUAAAAUUUAUUGCCAUUCUCUGUUAGCUGCCUAAACAUAAAUAUAGGGGCCACCUGAGGCAUAGGGGCCCAGCUUUAAAAAUACAUUUCACACUCAUUCGUUCUUUAUUUUUUUAUUUGUUGGUUUUUUUUUUUUUUGUUUUAAUAUUUUACUAGUAUAUACAUAUAUUAGCAUACGCAUUCAAUGUCAUGUAAAAGGUAGAGUCAAACAAUGUUUUUUUCUUUUUUUUUUUUCAGAACUGUGAAGCAAGUGGGUGUUCCUUUCUAUGCUAGAUGCAGAACAGGGGAUAGAUAGAAAGGAUUUUCUAAAUAUGUUUUUUAGAAGUUUCUCCAAACAGUCACAGACCUCUAAGACAUGAAAAAAAAAUGAAACAGAUCCAUAUAAGUUCCACAUGUAAACUAGAUUCUUUCCCCUGACUGAGACUUCCUGUGGCAUCCUCUCUCUAGCUUUCAUACCAUGCUGACAAUGCUCAGGUGCUCAUGGGUUAAGAAUGUCCUUUUUUUUCCCGCUGCCAAGGUUUUCCCCUAUCAGCCCAAGGCUUUCUGCCUUCCCUUCCAUACUCUCUAAAUACCUGCAUUGAGGCUUUAUUCUUUGAAAGAAGAAAAGGUGCCUAUUUCCUUUCUAACCACAUCGUUAGCAAGGCUUCUUCUAAAUAAACAUCAUCCAUCACAUAACUGUUAUUUACA